RNAcentral lists this ribosomal RNA (390 nucleotides) under uncultured Rhogostoma. RNAcentral describes it as "SSU rRNA". It matches the Rfam family "Eukaryotic small subunit ribosomal RNA", at positions 585 to 972 of the family's 1831-position model. Lineage: Eukaryota; Cercozoa; Thecofilosea; Cryomonadida. The record is from RNAcentral.
CCAGCUCCAAGAGCAUAUAUUAAAGUUGUUGCAGUUAAAAAGCUCGUAGUUGGAUUUCUGGUUUAAUGCACCUGGCCCGCAGCCACUAGGCUUGUGAGUGCCGGCGCGCGUUUACCAUCCUUCUAGUUAACGGUUCUGCCAUUCACUUGGUGGGAUCGCGAUCUAGAUCUUUUACUUUGAAAAAAUUAGAGUGUUUAAAGCAGGCUUUUGCUAUGAAUACAUUAGCAUGGAAUAAUAAUCUAGGACUUCGGUUCUAUUUUGUUGGUUUCUAUAACUGAAGUAAUGAUUGAUAGGGAUAGUUGGGGGUGCUAGUAUUGGCCGGCCAGAGGUGAAAUUCUUGGAUUCGGUCAAGACUAACUUAUGCGAAAGCAUUCACCAAGGAUGUCUUCU